RNAcentral lists this ribosomal RNA (497 nucleotides) under uncultured bacterium. RNAcentral describes it as "partial 16S ribosomal RNA". It matches the Rfam family "Bacterial small subunit ribosomal RNA", at positions 28 to 507 of the family's 1533-position model. The record is from RNAcentral.
GAUGAACGCUGGCGGCGUGCCUAAUACAUGCAAGUCGAGCGAACAGACGAGGAGCUUGCUCCUCAGACGUUAGCGGCGGACGGGUGAGUAACACGUGGAUAACAUACCUAUAAGACUGGGAUAACUUCGGGAACCCGGAGCUAAUACCGGAUAAUAUAUUGAACCGCAUGGUUCGAUAGUGAAAGACGGUUUUGCUGUCACUUAUAGAUGGAACCGAGCCGCAUUAGCUAGUUGGUUAGGUAACGGCUUACCAAGGCAACGAUGCGUAGCCGACCAGUGAGAGUGUCCGUACACACUGGGACAGAGACACGGGCCAGACUCCGACGGGGAGCAGCAGUAGGGAAUCUUCCGCGAUGGGCGAAAGCCAUACUGAGCAACGCCGCGUGAGUGAUGAAGGUCUUCGGAUCUGAAAACACUGUUAUUAGGGAAGAACAAAUGUGUAAGUAACUAUGCACGUCUUGACGGUACCUGAUCAGAAAGCCACGGCUAACUACGUG